Molecule: non-coding RNA, 79 nt
Organism: Dichotomopilus funicola
Lineage: Eukaryota; Fungi; Ascomycota; Sordariomycetes; Sordariales; Chaetomiaceae
Source: the annotation of a RefSeq genome assembly
GGUCCGCUGGCUCAAUGGCAGAGCGUCUGACUACGAUGAGUAAAUCAGGAGGUUCCAGGUUCGACCCCUGGGUGGAUCG